GCCGGAUGUGGUGGCGUGCAUCUGUAAUCCCAGCUACUAGGGAGGCUGAGGCGGGAGAAUUGCUUGAACCCAGGAGAUGGAGAUUGCAGUGAGCUGAGAUCACGCCAUUGCAUUCCAGCCUGGGUGACACAGCAAGCUUCCGUCUUAA
Macaca fascicularis (crab-eating macaque) is the source of this 148-nucleotide unclassified non-coding RNA. It matches the Rfam family "Metazoan signal recognition particle RNA". From Rfam's summary of the family: The signal recognition particle (SRP) is a universally conserved ribonucleoprotein. It is involved in the co-translational targeting of proteins to membranes. Lineage: Eukaryota; Metazoa; Chordata; Mammalia; Primates; Cercopithecidae. The record is from Ensembl.